Molecule: non-coding RNA, 2477 nt
Organism: Physcomitrium patens
Lineage: Eukaryota; Viridiplantae; Streptophyta; Bryopsida; Funariales; Funariaceae
Source: RefSeq, a predicted model, not a curated record
CGAGAAAUUGCAUGGCGCACUCACUGUCAAGGAAUCACUGACAGGAAUCUCUUCAGCGGAAUGAGAAGCUGGGUGAGGAUCGUCGCUGUGUGUUUGUUUUUGGCCUUCAAUGGGAGCAACAGAGAGGUGACUCCUACGAGAGCUCAAAGGUGGGGGGGGGGGGGGGAGAUGAAGGGGCCUUUGCUGCUGCUGCUGCUGCUGUUGUUUGUUGGGCUGGUGGAAGCUCUCGGCACCACGAGUGGGACAACAGCUGCUGCGGAGGAGAGUUUGGUUGCUUAAAAUGGGCGCGCCGCUGCGACACACCCACCUGGCUCGUCUCCAAAUUGAGUUAAGCUUGAGGGACAGACUGACCCCACAACCUCGACUGCUAAAUGCAAACACUCAAAAGGCUGCGGAGGAAUGGAAACGAGGCACAACGUUUGGACAAGGCAUUCGAUGCCUGUGGUGCCGUGGUUUGCAAUGCCCUUCGGCUUUUCUCAAUUCCUGGGGUGCCAAACUAUUUUUCCCGAGCUUCUUUGUCAUCCGCCUCGAGCUAAAUAUGAAAGAACUGAUACUUUUACCAGCUGGGUUUGUGUUUUGUCGCUCGCAACUGGAAUGUGGAUGCUUUGAUUAGAAAUCCGUGUAUCUAGGGGGGGGGGGGGAUGAUGAUGUUUCGGCGCAGGGGAUAAAUGCAACAUCCUCGGUGCCAUGGUGAGUUUGCCUUGUGUGCUCUAAUAUGGGGUGGGUGCUUGGAUUGAAUAUGCACAAUGCCAGGGAUAUUCUAAGAAUUUUGCCGAAUGGAGCGCUGGGAAAUUGGCUGAUUCUUGUCUUCAAUUUGCGACUGGCUGCUUCUGGCGAAUGAGCAACUGGGUAAGGGGUCGCUUGUAUAUUCUUGUUCUUUCUCUGGAGCGCGGUGAAUUGCGGCUGCAAGAUGAUGCUCUCUUUAGAGCUUGAAAGUGAAAAAUCAGAGUGGUGAAGUCCCUUCUAAUUUGGACGGGACAAUGUUGAAGGAUCUGUGAGCUAAAAUGAGAAGAGACAAAAUAUAAGGUCAUUUCCUGCGGUGAUUUCAGCAACGGUAUGACUUUAUGAUGGUGACAUCCUUGGAACAUACUGCCCAUGGUGGGUUUGACCCAGUUUCAGGAUUUCGAGGUAACAUGACAGAUGAAUCAGUUUUAAGCUUCGAUUACACCGGUAACAUUCCUAAAGUGCAUGAUCUAACUACCGUACAUUGAAGAUAGAAGUGAAUCGGCAAUACAGGGGCGUCAAGGGACUUGUCCAAGAGUACUGGUAACCUUGACUUAUGUCAGCAUGGAUAGAGUACGAACUAGAAGCAGCAGGGUAAAGGGACGGUUGGUUGGGUUCAGUAGAAAUGAAAACAGUUGAAGACCGGAGACAGUUCAGCUCUCUCAAUAAAGACUUUUUGAUGAGUAUGCUAUCGAAUCGGUAAGACGUUCCCACCUUCUCCCACUGUCAACUCAAAUAUCUGAGGUUGGGGGGGGAGGAAUCUUUAAGAAUGCGCUCUGUAUGGGUCCAUUGUGUUGCAAUGAUCCUAUCCACGUGAACCACGAAGGGUGUUGAUUGAGCUUCUCGCAGCUGAUCUGAAAUCCUUGUCUUUCAAUCUGUCGGUCUCGUCGUCGAAAACAAACGUGCUUUUCCUUACAAUGAAUCAACUGUCUUCACGCUUUUCGUUUCACUAUGCAAAUUAUGGCGUGGAGCACUUUCACCUGCUGUCAGUGCAUGGUUUCGAGGGCAGAGGAGGAAAUUAUUUUAAUGUCCACUGAGAGUUUUGGUGCCGGAAUUCAAACUAUCGAUGAUCUGCAUGACAAAGAAGACGAUGAGGCCUACAGAAAGGAAGAAUAUGAUACCGCUGAAGAAGAGCUUAGCGAUGAUGUAGCCUGCCCCGUACAUGAGAACCGCCGAGACGAGGCAUAAUGCCAAAUGCUCCCCGUCGAAGCCCUGAAAGUAGGUCGUGCCCGGCCGCGACAAAGGACCUUGAUUACGUCUGUUGUGGAAGUUUUGCGUCGAAUAGUAGCUCUCGUAGGGUCUUCCGUCCAUUCUCAAUUCGUUUCUGAGCAAAUUCGUUUCCAGAUAUGUCAAGUCCAAACAAUCACGACUGAUGCAAAAUCUGAGGAGGUUGUCUCUUCCUCUUCCUUCCUCCCGAAGACAGCAGUCCGCAUGAAAUAAAUUAAUUACAACCAGCUGAACCCAAUUCCAAGCCAAUUUCGUGCUGGACGCUGUCAAAAAAGACGUCCUCAACUUGGAUCUGCAAGUCAUUCGCAUGAAACUGGGUGGGCAAUCCUUCCCAAGUCGAAACUGCGCAAUUGCAAAAUUAGACAGAAUCGCCACAAGUUAUCCAACACUCUAGACCACCAAUGCAACCUCUCCAAACUCAGAAACUCUUCUCUGUUGAACUGGAAUUGAAUUCUUCAACUAGGGACAGGCACAGCAGAGCUGCAAUUGUAUCUCCAAAAAAAAAAAAAAAAAAAAAAAAAAAAAAA